RNAcentral lists this ribosomal RNA (863 nucleotides) under Escherichia coli. RNAcentral's name for it is "partial 23S ribosomal RNA". It matches the Rfam family "Bacterial large subunit ribosomal RNA", at positions 364 to 1230 of the family's 2925-position model. Lineage: Bacteria; Pseudomonadati; Pseudomonadota; Gammaproteobacteria; Enterobacterales; Enterobacteriaceae. The record is from RNAcentral.
GUGACAGCCCCGUACACAAAAAUGCACAUGCUGUGAGCUCGAUGAGUAGGGCGGGACACGUGGUAUCCUGUCUGAAUAUGGGGGGACCAUCCUCCAAGGCUAAAUACUCCUGACUGACCGAUAGUGAACCAGUACCGUGAGGGAAAGGCGAAAAGAACCCCGGCGAGGGGAGUGAAAAAGAACCUGAAACCGUGUACGUACAAGCAGUGGGAGCACGCUUAGGCGUGUGACUGCGUACCUUUUGUAUAAUGGGUCAGCGACUUAUAUUCUGUAGCAAGGUUAACCGAAUAGGGGAGCCGAAGGGAAACCGAGUCUUAACUGGGCGUUAAGUUGCAGGGUAUAGACCCGAAACCCGGUGAUCUAGCCAUGGGCAGGUUGAAGGUUGGGUAACACUAACUGGAGGACCGAACCGACUAAUGUUGAAAAAUUAGCGGAUGACUUGUGGCUGGGGGUGAAAGGCCAAUCAAACCGGGAGAUAGCUGGUUCUCCCCGAAAGCUAUUUAGGUAGCGCCUCGUGAAUUCAUCUCCGGGGGUAGAGCACUGUUUCGGCAAGGGGGUCAUCCCGACUUACCAACCCGAUGCAAACUGCGAAUACCGGAGAAUGUUAUCACGGGAGACACACGGCGGGUGCUAACGUCCGUCGUGAAGAGGGAAACAACCCAGACCGCCAGCUAAGGUCCCAAAGUCAUGGUUAAGUGGGAAACGAUGUGGGAAGGCCCAGACAGCCAGGAUGUUGGCUUAGAAGCAGCCAUCAUUUAAAGAAAGCGUAAUAGCUCACUGGUCGAGUCGGCCUGCGCGGAAGAUGUAACGGGGCUAAACCAUGCACCGAAGCUGCGGCAGCGACGCUGAUGCGUUGUUGGGUA